RNAcentral lists this ribosomal RNA (342 nucleotides) under Microsporidium sp. RNAcentral describes it as "SSU rRNA". It matches the Rfam family "Microsporidia small subunit ribosomal RNA", at positions 432 to 774 of the family's 1311-position model. The record is from RNAcentral. Lineage: Eukaryota; Fungi; Microsporidia.
GGAUGCUGCAGUUAAAGGGUCCGUAGUCUGCCUGGCGGGGGAGCGAGGAAAGGGCUGUGCUCAAGGCGGCGCGAGCGCGGGCCCCGGGGCGAGAGGAACGGACGACGGGCGCGGGAUCCGGGGGCGAGAGGUGAAAAUCGGGGACCCUCUGGGGACGAGCGGAGGCGAAGGCGGCGCCCGGGGACGUGUCCGUUGAUCAAGGACGAAGGCCGGAGGAGCAAAGAUGAUUAGAGACCGUCGUAGUUCCGGCAGUAAACGAUGCCGACGGGGCGAGGCCGGGGGGCUGUGUCCGGGAGAAAUCGGAGUGUUUGGGCUCUGGGGAUAGUACGCUCGCAAGAGUGA